This 520-nucleotide long non-coding RNA is filed under the name Nicotiana benthamiana. Its description in RNAcentral is "long non-coding RNA (NBEN_LNC042591)". The record is from RNAcentral. Lineage: Eukaryota; Viridiplantae; Streptophyta; Magnoliopsida; Solanales; Solanaceae.
CAGGUAUCCAUUGACAGGUUAUCAAGCGUUUUGCAUAUGUUUGGCUUCUAUUGAUUCAAAGCUGUGCUGCACGCUGUAGAUGGAAUUGCUGGAGCCUUUUGUUGUUCAACCUCUGAACAGCAAGUCAUCGAAUUGACUAAAUGUAUUGUUCUGCAAUUUUUUCUCUAAGGCAUCACCUGAAGUGGAAUAUAGCGUAGAUGGAAUUUCUGAAGCCUUUUGUUGUUCAACCUCUGAACAGCAAGUCAUUGAAUUGACUAAGUGUACUGUUCUGCAAUUUUUUCUCUGAGGCAUCACCUGAGGUGGAAUAGGAAUAUUGUGAACGCGAUAGAAGUAUCAUUAUUCAUUUACUCUGCUAGUUAAGUUUCCUUAAUGCAUAUGAUGGAAAAUUUUGUACAUUAAUAUGCCUGUGUAAGCAUCUAACUUCAUCAACUUACAUGCCCCAUUUUCUGACAUUUGAUAAUCCGUACAGCAUUGUGGUACUCCCACAACUAUGAUAUUGCAUGACAAUAUAUAAUGCAAC